This 1998-nucleotide long non-coding RNA is filed under the name Gallus gallus (chicken). RNAcentral describes it as "lncRNA (ENSGALG00010030003.1)". The record is from RNAcentral. Lineage: Eukaryota; Metazoa; Chordata; Aves; Galliformes; Phasianidae.
CUUCGAGGUCCAACCUCAGUGAUUCCAUGACACUGAGCUCCAGAGGCGCUUCUGUGCUGAGCACACAGCAUAGGCCCACGCUGAGAGCAUCACCAACAGCCCUGAUAGCAUUGUGGGAUGCCUCAGGGGGACCGCUGGGCUGGGGGAGACAAGUGAGGGCAAGGAACUGCCCCAGAAGCCUGCCUAGGGCAUGAAAGGCGAAGGGCUGAAGCCUGAUGUAACUGAUGGUAUCUUUUGAGUGAGAGUACUGAAGCAUUUCAGUCACAGCCCCAGCUGGGUUACUCACCUGAGGGGAAUGCAUGCAGCCCUCAGCCCGGGGUGCUCACCGGUGUCCGAAAGCAUUCUUCCCUACUGCACGGUCACACCACAGAUGUGCUGAAAGCAAGAAAUACAGCCACGCUUCGUGCAGCACCACUACUGCAGUCUGUGUUAGAAUAAAGACUUGAGAAUUAGGGGCAAAUGCUUCCGUUCCCUUCAGAGGCUCCAUUGAAGCAAUUCCUUCACCUUGAACGUGUUUUAUUGCUGGCUCGCUCCCUCAAAAAACAAACCCUCUAAAAUCUAGAGUCAAUAUCCAGUCCUUUUGGUGCAAUUCUGUUUCUAGGAAGGCUGAAUUUGUGGUUACUAUUAAUUAGCGAUUCAGCUGCAGUUCUCUCCUACACAAACCACUUGUCUUAGCCCACAAUAGUCUGCUGUCUGAUCCAAAACCUGUCCUUACAAGACGCUGUUUAACGUGUUGAGCAAUUGUUUCUCUAAAUCAGUUCUCUAUGGUGGUAUUUGGCCAGUUGCGCUCGUGUAAGCAAGGUUAACGAGUUAAUCUAGUAAUUAGAUAGACCCUCUGUAAUUAGAUAGACUUAUCUGAUUGAUAUUGCCUGCCAUUACGCCUGCAACAUCCUUUUCCUGCUCUGAAAGCCUGAGAUACAAUCCUGCCGGCAUAGCAGGGUGAGGAAUGUACGCCCACUCCGACUCCUCUUUGUUCAUAACACUUCUCCAUUUCAGGUCUGGGAAAUCUGAUUAGCUGCCACUACUGCAGUUCACCGGAUAGCCACGUGGCCAGAAAAGCUUUGUGAAGGCUCUGGAAUGUAUUGAUGAAGGGAAGGCAUUAUCAGUGCACGAUUUAACAUCCAAAUCAGUCGCAGGAGAUUAGAAUGUUCUUAAAUGUUCCUAUUGUUUGCAUUCCUGUUACAUCUUCUGCUAUGGAAGCUCCAGCGGGGCAUCACCAGAAGGAACAUAACUUAAUAAAGGAGUGGGUGAAAAGCUGAAGGAAUGCAGUGAGGGGUGCUGAGAUUUGAACCCAAGGGACAAAGGCUGCAAGUGCAGACUGAUGUUUUCAGAGAAUAAGGAAUGAGGCAUGCUAGACAGGGAGGGAAGCUGCGCCUUACAGAGGUCAUGCAAGGCCAGUCACUGCCCAGCACGUGAAUGUGUUUUUCUGGCCUUCCUUCCUUCCCAUUAUGAAUUCUGGUCAUUCUGGUUACACAACUCAAAGCCCGGACAUUUUUUCCCGUUUUGGGGCAAUGUGCCCAUGGAAAUGAGAGCUAUCGGCAGCCAAUCCUUCAUUAUUAAUAUCAGCUAAAGCAAAGUGCAAUUGCCUGGGAGCAGUAUGGGGCUGAGUGUACACGCACAGAAUGCCUCCUGGCCUCGCAGUGAGUGGGUGCAGGCAGGGCUGUGGCAUCCAGCAGGCAGGAACUCGCCCUGCUGUCUUCUGUUUGCAUCCCAAGGAGCGCUGGUGAAGGUGAAGCUGUCAUUGCUUUGUGCUGUCCAGCUGGUCUCAUCUUCACAGCUUUUGUACUGAGAUUGAUCCCGAUUGAGCCAGGAAUGCCUUCAUUCAAGUUCUUGCUGCUAAGCACUAAGCACAUUAAAUGUUCCAGAAGGGGUAAGAUUUUGGGUUCAGAUAUAAUGAAGUUCUUUCAGAGUAAUUCCCUAAUAAAUCAGUUACGUCUGACUCAGUGGAAUUUUAUGUACCCCUGGCUAAAUUGAAAUAUAUGCCUGCUGAAACAUCUG